CUUGAAUUCAGGAGGUUGAGGCUGCAGUGAGCUAGGAUUGCACCACUGCACUCCAACCUGGGUGACAGAGCAAGACCUUGUUUCUAAAACAAAAGACAAAUUAGACAAAUUAGAGUGGUUCUAGAAACUGGGAGGGUAAGUGUGUACAUUCCAUCAAGGGCUAUAGAAAAUAGAGCAUACAGGCCUGGAUUUCAUUUUAGGAUUAUUAAUAGAAUUCAGCUUCUUGAAGUAAUAAUCCUGUCUACAGCCAUACCACCCUGAAUGCCCCCGAUCUCGUCUGAAGUAAUAAUCCUUUAUUCUGUAGUCAUUUUCAUCCACAGUUCCUCCAAGGCAGGAGAACCUAGAAGGAAUUUAUUUGCUGAGCCACGGGAGGAGCAGCCCACUGAAUUACUUAUGAAAUAUAAUGUCGCUCAUUUCCUUUACCAAAAACAAAACAAAACAAAACAAAGAUGAAGGAGGUGGAACAGAAGAAAAAGGAGGAGGAGGAAUUGGAGAGGAAAACAAUAUCAAACAUGGGAUCCUAUGCAACCGAGGUGGCCGUACAACACAGAAGUCUGCUGAAUCGCUCCAAAACAAUAAAGAGAAUGAGAAACAAUAGUGAAACCCAUAUUCUAUAAGGGCAGGAGACAUCUGUAAUCUGGAACUGCAAUGGAUGAAGAUGAGAAACCGAUGGAGGAAUGGGAGCCACUUAUUAGAUCUCUGGAAAGUCAAACCCAAGAGCCAGGAGGUGAUACCAUUGUGAAUCAGGCUGACUUCCCACUGCGGAAAACAGGGAAGUCUGGAGAGUUGACAGAUCCACAUACUGCAUUGAUCAGAAGUGAACAUGGAACUGAAAACAGCCCUGUAGUAGAAAGAUAAUAACACCAGGUACCAUUUGUGGUGCACCUUUUCUUCCUCUUUACAAACAUUCUCUCAUGCAAUCCUCAUGACAACAGCAAAAGGUAUUAUUUCCCUCCUUUUAUGGAUGCAAAAUCUAAGGCUCAGAGGGAAAAAGUCUUUUGUCCCAGAUUGCAAAGAGAGAAUAAGACACUGCAUCAAUGUAUGUAUCCUUAAUUCCAAAGCCCUACCACUAGACCCCACCACCUCUCUGGGUAAAACCGAGCCAUGAGUGCCCAGUGUACCCAUGCUGAAUAGGUGGCCAGGGUGACAUAUGCCUGGCAAUGGUGAUGGCAGGGACU
This 1178-nucleotide long non-coding RNA is filed under the name Homo sapiens (human). RNAcentral describes it as "HSALNT0101713". Lineage: Eukaryota; Metazoa; Chordata; Mammalia; Primates; Hominidae. The record is from RNAcentral.